GGGAACCGACAGGAGCGGAGCAGCGUGUUCCUCUUCCCAACCCAAGAAGACCAGCAGGUGCAAUCAGCGAGAUUACUCUUGACAUUACUCUCACCUCAGCCCCUGUGCCAAGCCAAUACAGACCGGACCAGUCGCUCACUCAAUUUGAAGAUGGAGAUGGAAGACGAAACUUAAAUCAACCCUCCUAUCCAACUCCUGGUAUUACAGCAGUAAUAUGGACUUAGAGAACCUUCUCAACUACAUUGUAGCUGGGAUCAACAGACAAAAAAGCAGACUCAACACAACGAUACCUGUGAGGUUUUCUUACAAGGCUGGAGAAUUGGUCAGGAAACCUUAGGAGAGACGCAUGAGUCUUUCAGUGAUCUCUUGUGACGUUGUGGAGCAGGAUGUGGUCAUGGCAGAAGUGAAAAGUGGUACAGGAAUUUAUUGUGCAAGCCUUCACUUAUAGAUUACGCACGUAAAGCCACAGAGGAGACGCACAGGCUGCAUCACCAAGAGUAAUAAGAUUAGACAAACAAAAACCACAAGCAGCGACAGAAAAACUUCUACCCUCGUCAGAUGCCAUGACAAGGCCACUGAAUCUAAAUAAACACGGGAGUGUGUGACAGAAAAAAGGAGAAAGAGAGACUGCGUGUAUUGCGGUAGUCGUGCACGACUGUGGAUUUGAAUUGAGCUGCACUCAGAUUGCCUCCACCAAUCAGAAGACUUACUUAGGCACGCUUCAGGGUGACCGCAAAGGAACAGAAAACAAAUGCUGUGCAAACAAACCAGCCCUGAUCCGAAGCCACUGAGCCCAU
Xiphias gladius (swordfish) is the source of this 797-nucleotide long non-coding RNA. RefSeq lists it as uncharacterized. The record is from RefSeq and is a predicted model, not a curated record. Lineage: Eukaryota; Metazoa; Chordata; Actinopteri; Istiophoriformes; Xiphiidae. The transcript has 5 exons.